GGGGGCGCUCGGUUUCGACUGUUCGGAAUGGGCUCCUGUGGCAAGUCGAGGAUUGAACUGGUUGGCCUCGUUAAUCAUCUGGUUCAAACACAAUUGCUAAUAACGAAUUAGCUCUCGCAGCCUAAAGUGCUGUGACGUCGUUGCUCUGACUCCGGCUGGGGGACAACGGCGCAAUUUAGCCGGACAUCCUGCCAGGUGAGUGACCGACCUGGCAGGAUGAAUCAACGCGGUGGCUGGAAGGACGGGGCGCGGGACCGCGCAACCCGGACUUUGAGAAUCAAUCGGUCCCUAAACUUGUAGAAGCAGUUGCACUUACCGUCCAGGACGCGGGUUCGAGUCCCGCCGCCUCCACCC
This 354-nucleotide transfer-messenger RNA is filed under the name Methylacidiphilales. Its description in RNAcentral is "JAAUTS01 sp012031345 Standard tmRNA". It matches the Rfam family "transfer-messenger RNA". From Rfam's summary of the family: Bacterial tmRNA, also known as 10Sa RNA or SsrA, is named for its dual tRNA and mRNA-like properties. The record is from RNAcentral. RNAcentral also lists the same sequence under 1 other name. Lineage: Bacteria; Pseudomonadati; Verrucomicrobiota; Methylacidiphilae.